GGGUUGAUCUAUGUGAUUGCAGAUUCAGUGAAUCAUCGAGUCUUUGAACGCACAUUGCGCCCUCUGGUAUUCCGGAGGGCAUGCCUGUCCGAGCGUCAUUGCUGCCCUCAAGCACGGCUUGUGUGUUGGGCCCCGUCCCCCCCGCGCCGGGGGGACGGGCCCGAAAGGCAGCGGCGGCACCGCGUCCGGUCCUCGAGCGUAUGGGGCUUCGUCACCCGCUCUUGUAGGCCCGGCCGGCGCCAGCCGACCCCCAACCUUUAUAUUUUCUCAGGUUGACCUCGGAUCAGGUAGGGAUACCCGCUGAACUUAAGCAUAUCAAUAAGCGGAGGAA
RNAcentral lists this ribosomal RNA (331 nucleotides) under Penicillium tropicum. RNAcentral's name for it is "eukaryotic LSU rRNA". The stretch from base 1 to 98 matches the Rfam family "5.8S ribosomal RNA", at positions 55 to 154 of the family's 154-position model. Lineage: Eukaryota; Fungi; Ascomycota; Eurotiomycetes; Eurotiales; Aspergillaceae. The record is from RNAcentral.